RNAcentral lists this long non-coding RNA (2011 nucleotides) under Olea europaea subsp. europaea. The record is from RNAcentral. Lineage: Eukaryota; Viridiplantae; Streptophyta; Magnoliopsida; Lamiales; Oleaceae.
CUCUGAAGUUCAAUCAAAAGCCACUCACUCACGUGACUCAACAUCCCUAACCUAUCUUCCAUGUCUCUCUCACGCCCACAGUCCCACGGCGCGGCCUCUCUAAUUUUCUCACCAAAUCAUCGAUAUUGCCCAACGUCGAUAGCCGAUUUUCCAUGGUCAAGGGUCGUUGGUAAAUCCUCUCUUAAUUUCAUGCUUUUUCCAUUGAUUUUCAUUUGGUUGAUUGGUUCUUUCCAAUUGUACUUUGAGUAUUCUUUAUUUUGUCUGUGCGGUUUCAAUUGGAUCAUCUCUAAGUCUUGUAUCUGCAUAGGUUAUAUGGAGACCGAAGACCCAGAAGAAUUUUUAGAAAGAGAAAGAAAUAAUUUCGGAGGAAGAGAGGAAUUUAGAGAAAGAAUGAUUUAGAUUUGAAUUGUGGUGACCGAAGACCCAGAAAAACAGGCGCCCAAUAGUCGUCUCCAAGUUUUUUUUUCAUCGUUUUGGGCAAGUCUUGGAGGGGUUUUUGGUAGUCCGAAUAACGAUCAAGAAGAAAAAGAAGAAGAUUUAGAAAUGGCUUCAAAAGCUGUUGUUAAAGAACAACCCAGAGGCGACAAUAGUAAGUGAAAAUAAUCCAAUUUUGUAACAUCGAUCAUAGAUUCAUUCUUUGCUAUUUCCUUUUUAAUGGAUAAUGGAGGGUCUCUUAUGGUGAUUUGGACUGAGUUUUGAAGGGAUUAUUUAUCAAUUUUGGGAUGCACUAUUUUUCCUUUCUUUACGUUGAUUAAUUACUGCUGCAGACCAAUCAGACCAAAAGAUUAUUAUCAAUUAAGUUAGGUUAUUUAAGUGUAAUAUGAUAAGGACAACAUUGCAAGAUUAACUGACCCUUCUUAGUUGAUACUGGAUGAGCGGUGUCAUUCUGUUAUGUGGUGGGAGUUUGAAUAAAGUGUUUCAUUUUUAGAGUUGCAGCAGGCAUAUUGGGAUGGCUGAUUAAUGGCCAAUAAUUUUUAGUGUUUCAUCAAUCUGCUCAAGUUGUAAUGAGUAUUCUAUUGUAACUUUUUUCUGGGAACAUUAUCUCCAUCCUCUUUUUGAUGGAAGAAUGCAUCUCUUUAGAAGUUCAUGCUGUAAAUGUAAGUUAUUGUUGAAUAAUACUUCGCUCAUCUCUCUUCUCACUUCAUGUCUGUUAAAUAGGUUGAGUAAUACACUUAAAUCUGGAGGCGGCUAAAUUAUUGGACAUGGGAUGGAUGAUUGUUGUGAUGUGGUCGAGACUGAAAAUCUGACUGUUAUCGGUAUGUUUUGUGUUAGAGAUUCCAUUUAUUGGCUUUCUUCUUGUUACACUUUUUUAACCAGAUUUUGUAGAUAUAGAAUUUAAAUUUCAGUAACAUGAUAUAUAUAAAUUUACUCAACAUUCUGUAACUUCGCUUUUUCCACAGUGGUUUUUCCACAUUUUUUGUUUUACAUGGUGUUAACUAGAAGGAGAGUUGAAACAGGGUGAAGUAGGGGAAGUGUGGUAAGAGUUGAGAAGGGGAGGAAAUGGCUGAGAUUGCUACUAUCUGAAGUAGGGAGGUCAAAGUCACUAGACGGAGUUUCUACUGGGCAGCAGCGAUAGUGCCAACCUGGGGAAGCAUUGGCGGAAUGGAGGUCUUCUUGGCAUUAGUCAAGUGUUAUCUCAGCAUGAUAUUAGUCACGUGUUAUCUCUGUAUUUUUGUCUUACACUUACGCCUUGAGGCAUUCAUCACAUGAGAAAUCAAGAUGCUGGAUUGAGGAGGAAAAUCUGCAGACAGAUACAGGGAUUGAUACAUAAAAACUGUCAACAAGCCUGAAGUGAUUGACAUUAUAUUGCCCUUAUUUAUUGAAAGUCUAGAAGAGGGUGAUGCUUUAACUCUUGUUAUUUAUUGACCUUUUUACUUGUGUAAGAAAGAAAAACAUGCCUAUAUUUUUCUUUGCUUUUAGAAUUUUAGAUCUGGAUUUUGUACGGAUAUUGUUACAUUUUUUAGUUCAAUUAAUAAUUACUAUUGGAGUUAUUUGAGAUAGUUAUCUUCUA